CUUCCAGAGGAUGAACAAGGUUUGCAGGAUAUUGGACUAAGUCAGAGAUGGAUGAACACCCUCAGUGGAGUGGGCCAUGGAUUCCUCAAGAUCUCUGAAAGGCUUCCCCUUGCUUACUGACUGCACCUUUAUCUUACCCAAGUUGAGUUUCAGCCAGCUGUUAAUCACCUGGACAUAUGUUUCUUCGCAGCACUAAGGUCUCAGGAGUGUGGGAGAAGCUGUGGAAGGAGUGCAUAAACUGCAUGGCAACCUCCCAGUAAAUUAGGUUCCUGAAAGCUGCAGGAGCAUACUGACUUUGUUUGGACUGCUUUAAUUCUCUGCCUGCCCACCUGCCCUGCCACGCAACACCUUGAGCAGCA
Molecule: long non-coding RNA, 359 nt
Organism: Mauremys reevesii (Reeves's turtle)
Lineage: Eukaryota; Metazoa; Chordata; Testudines; Geoemydidae
Exons: 4
Source: RefSeq, a predicted model, not a curated record